This 281-nucleotide ribosomal RNA is filed under the name Enterococcus faecalis. RNAcentral describes it as "partial 16S ribosomal RNA". It matches the Rfam family "Bacterial small subunit ribosomal RNA", at positions 128 to 402 of the family's 1533-position model. Lineage: Bacteria; Bacillati; Bacillota; Bacilli; Lactobacillales; Enterococcaceae. The record is from RNAcentral.
ACCCAUCAGAGGGGGAUAACACUUGGAAACAGGUGCUAAUNCCGCAUAACAGUUUAUGCCGCAUGGCAUAAGAGUGAAAGGCGCUUUCGGGUGUCGCUGAUGGAUGGACCCGCGGUGCAUUAGCUAGUUGGUGAGGUAACGGCUCACCAAGGCCNCGAUGCAUAGCCGACCUGAGAGGGUGAUCGGCCACACUGGGACUGAGACNCGGCCCAGACUNCUNCGGGAGGCAGCAGUAGGGAAUNUUCGGCAAUGGNCGAAAGUCUGNCCGANCANCNCCGCGU